GCACAAGUUGUUGUUAGGGCUUCUUUACAAUCUAGUGUACAAAACUGUGCAGGAGCUGAAAGACUUUAUGUCCACAAAGACAUAUACGCUUCAUUUGUAGCUGCGGUUGUCAAGAUUGUUAAAUCUGUCUCAGCUGGUCCUCCACAACUUGGAAAAUACGACAUGGAUGCGAUUUAUGAGGAACCUGUUGAUCCAUCGGUGAAAGUAGGACGCUGUAGUGUGGAUGUCCUGAAACAACUUAGUAUGGAUGUAGUGUCACUUGGGAUCAAGAAUCGCAUGAAUAAACUAACAAACCAUCUGCUGAGUCGACACAGGCAUGUUUUCAAAAUUCAAAAAAUAUUUUUCUUUUUUCAUUUUCUUAAUUUAAUAUUUUUACGUUUGUGACAACAACUUUUAUCCUCUGUACCCACCCGUGGAAGACACUCCUGUGGACUUGUCACUUGCUCCAGAAGCCCCUUCAAAAUCGUCGAUGGUCCCGCUAGCUCCGCUGUCGGAAAUCCAGAUGAAAUUGCAAAACUUUUCCCAUCCCUGUUUGGGCAACCAUCAACAAUAUUGGUGCCAGGUAAAUCUAAUGAAUCAGGAUCUGCCUUGAAGAUAGGAGUUGUGUUGUCAGGAGGACAAGCACCAGGAGGGCAUAAUGUUAUAUAUCUGGGAUUUUUGGUUAGGAUUUUGAACUUCCAUUUCCUAUUGUUCAUACUUUUCACACUUCAUAUGAUAGAUUGAAGGAUUGACUAGUAAACAUCAUCAAUAUUGGUGCCAGGUGAAUCUAAUUAGUAAAGAAAGUUGAAGGAUUGACUAGUAAACAUAAAAGUAGAAUGAAAAUGACAAGUGAUUUUGUGUUGUGUUUACAGGGUUGAUGAAAGCGAAUAGCUCUCGAGUUAGAAGUGGAAAAGAAAGCUCAAGCCUAAAGAGAUAAGAUGCUGAAA
Non-coding RNA from Lactuca sativa (garden lettuce), 926 nucleotides. Lineage: Eukaryota; Viridiplantae; Streptophyta; Magnoliopsida; Asterales; Asteraceae. The record is from RefSeq and is a predicted model, not a curated record.